RNAcentral lists this ribosomal RNA (433 nucleotides) under uncultured bacterium. Its description in RNAcentral is "partial 16S ribosomal RNA". It matches the Rfam family "Bacterial small subunit ribosomal RNA", at positions 29 to 507 of the family's 1533-position model. The record is from RNAcentral.
AACGAACGCUGGCGGCAUGCCUAACACAUGCAAGUCGAACGAGACCUUCGGGUCUAGUGGCGCACGGGUGCGUAACGCGUGGGAACCUGCCUUUAGGUUCGGAAUAACUCAGAGAAAUUUGAGCUAAUACCGGAUGAUGUCUUCGGACCAAAGAUUUAUCGCCUUUAGAUGGGCCCGCGUUGGAUUAGCUAGUUGGUGGGGUAAAGGCCUACCAAGGCGACGAUCCAGAGCUGGUCUGAGAGGAUGCUCAGCCACACUGGGACUGAGACACGGCCCAGACUCCUACGGGAGGCAGCAGUGGGGAAUAUUGGACAAUGGGCGAAAGCGUGAUCAAGCAAUGCCGCGUGAGUGAUGAAGGCCUUAGGGUUGUAAAGCUCUUUUACCCGAGAUGAUAAUGACAGUAUCGGGAGAAUAAGCUCCGGCUAACUCCGUG